Molecule: ribosomal RNA, 164 nt
Filed under: uncultured bacterium
Lineage: Bacteria
Description: partial 16S ribosomal RNA
Rfam family: Bacterial small subunit ribosomal RNA
Source: RNAcentral
GCGUAACUGGGCGCAGCCUGAUCAGCAUGCCGCGUGCAGGAAGAAGGCCUUCGGGUUGUAAACUGCUUUUGUACGGAACGAAAAGCUCUGGGUUAAUACCCUGGGGUCAUGACGGUACCGUAAGAAUAAGCACCGGCUAACUACGUGCCAGCAGCCGCGGUAAU